This 498-nucleotide ribosomal RNA is filed under the name uncultured bacterium. Its description in RNAcentral is "partial 16S ribosomal RNA". It matches the Rfam family "Bacterial small subunit ribosomal RNA", at positions 27 to 507 of the family's 1533-position model. The record is from RNAcentral.
GGAUGAACGCUGGCGGCGUGCCUAAUACAUGCAAGUCGAGCGAACAGACGAGGCGCUUGCUCCUCUGACGUUCGCGGCGGACGGGUGAGUAACACGUGGAUAACCUACCUAUAAGACUGGGAUAACUUCGGGAAACCGGAGCUAAUACCGGAUAAUAUAUUGAACCGCAUGGUUCAAUAGUGAAAGACGGUUUUGCUGUCACUUAUAGAUGGAUCCGCGCCGCAUUAGCUAGUUGGUAAGGUAACGGCUUACCAAGGCAACGAUGCGUAGCCGACCUGAGGGGGGGAUCGGCAAAACGGGAACGAGAAACGGGUCCAGACGCCAAGGGGAGGAGGAAGUAGGGAAUCUUCCGAAAAGGGCGAAAGCGUGACGGAGAAAGGCCGCGUGAGGAAUGAAGGUUUUCGGAUCGAAAAACUCGGUUAUUAGGGAAAAACAAAUGUGUAAGUAACAAUGCACGUCUUGACGGUACCUAAUCAGAAAGCCACGGCUAACUACGUG